RNAcentral lists this ribosomal RNA (200 nucleotides) under uncultured bacterium. Its description in RNAcentral is "partial 16S ribosomal RNA". It matches the Rfam family "Bacterial small subunit ribosomal RNA", at positions 8 to 220 of the family's 1533-position model. The record is from RNAcentral.
AGAGUUUGAUCCUGGCUCAGGACGAACGCUGGCGGCGUGCCUAAUACAUGCAAGUCGUGCGAGGCUCUUCGGAGUCGAGCGGCGGACGGGUGAGUAACACGUGGGCAAUCUGCCCGACAGACCGGGAUAACGCUUGGAAACGAGUGCUAAUACCGGAUAGGCUCUUGGACCGCAUGGUUCGAGAGGGAAAGCUGCUCUUG